Thalictrum thalictroides is the source of this 126-nucleotide non-coding RNA. The record is from the annotation of a GenBank genome assembly. Lineage: Eukaryota; Viridiplantae; Streptophyta; Magnoliopsida; Ranunculales; Ranunculaceae.
CUGGGAUGAUGAAAUUUAGCCAAAUCAGACGUUUGCUCCUUGAGGCAAUUUAUUUUGGGCUUGUUCCGAAUGUUUUUUGUAGAGACACUCUGGUGAUCUUUGCUAAGCACUUGAUCAAGCUCCAGA